UGGGGAAUAUUGCGCAAUGGGGGAAACCCUGACGCAGCGACGCCGUGUGAGGGAAGAAGGCUUUCGGGUCGUAAACCUCUGUCAGGAAGGAAGAACCUCUCAAGGCUGAACAAGCCUUGGGACUGACGGUACUUCCAGAGGAAGCACCGGCUAACUCCGUGCCAGCAGCCGCGGUAAUACGGAGGGUGCAAGCGUUAAUCGGAAUCACUGGGCGUAAAGCGCGCGUAGGCCGUCUUUUAAGUCGGACGUGAAAGCCCUCGGCUCAACCGGGGAACUGCGUUCGAUACUGGGAGACUUGAGUCCUGGAGAGGGUGGCGGAAUUCCGGGUGUAGGAGUGAAAUCCGUAGAUAUCCGGAGGAACACCGGUGGCGAAGGCGGCCACCUGGACAGGUACUGACGCUGAGGUGCGAAAGCGUGGGGAGCAAACA
This 428-nucleotide ribosomal RNA is filed under the name uncultured bacterium. RNAcentral describes it as "bacterial SSU rRNA". It matches the Rfam family "Bacterial small subunit ribosomal RNA", at positions 355 to 774 of the family's 1533-position model. The record is from RNAcentral.